Molecule: long non-coding RNA, 411 nt
Organism: Poecilia latipinna (sailfin molly)
Lineage: Eukaryota; Metazoa; Chordata; Actinopteri; Cyprinodontiformes; Poeciliidae
Exons: 5
Source: RefSeq, a predicted model, not a curated record
UCAGCAGGAGAAAAUAAAAUACAGCACAACUUUAAUGUGAAGAAGUAUGUUCUGCCCAAAUUUGAUGUAACAAUAAAUGUAAAAGAAGAAGUUAGUGUUGGGCAGGAAGGAACUGAAGCUAAAGUGUGUGGAAAGUACACAUACGGACAGCCUGUGCCAGGAAGUGUUACUGUGAAAAUGUGCCGACCUUUUUAUGACUCCACUCCCAAGAGUCAGAGGAAAAAACCUCUUUGUGACAUUCAGACACAGAAGGCAGACAAAACAGGAUGUAGUACUUUUGAAUUCCAAAUGUCAAUUUUCACAAGAGGCGGUCAAAGAAGAUUCGAACAUAAACUUGAUGUCACUGCCACAGUGGAAGAGGAAGGAACAGGUACAUCACUCUCACAAGUGAAGCAAAUUCAAAUCUCAUAU